GGGGAUAUAGCUCAGUUGGUAGAGUGCUUGCCUUGCAUGCACAAGGCCCUGGGUUCGAUCCCCAGCACCA
Ictidomys tridecemlineatus (thirteen-lined ground squirrel) is the source of this 70-nucleotide non-coding RNA. The record is from Rfam. NCBI's taxonomy places the organism in Eukaryota, Metazoa, Chordata, Mammalia, Rodentia, Sciuridae.